RNAcentral lists this long non-coding RNA (529 nucleotides) under Solanum lycopersicum (tomato). RNAcentral's name for it is "long non-coding RNA (SLYC_LNC000243)". The record is from RNAcentral. Lineage: Eukaryota; Viridiplantae; Streptophyta; Magnoliopsida; Solanales; Solanaceae.
UCAUAACGUAAGCCUACGAGUAUUUCUCUUUGCUGGAACAGCACAAGCAUGCAAUUAAUAUAAAGGGAGAAGAAGAGGGCUCAAAAUUUCUUCUUGUGUUCUACCUAUAGCUCACGUGAUAGAUUUAAGACCACAAGUUUCUGUAUGCAACUCGCCUGCAUGAAGCCGGAAUUGCUAGUAAUCGCCGGUCAGCCAUACGGCGGUGAAUUCGUUCCCGGGCCUUGUACACACCGCCCGUCACACUAUGAUUUAAGACCACAAGUUUCUGUAUGACUUGGGCUAGGAUGUUUGUUAUGUAUUGUUUGAUAAUUUAUAUGUUGUGUUGUAUUUGUCAAGAAUGAUACAAGUCCCAUAUUGGUGGUUAAUGAGAUGGCUGGACUCAGACUUGAGCAAUUCUUCUCUCUUUGAGCUAACUAAGAGAGCUAACUUUUGGGGUGUGAGUUAAAUCCAAUACCUAAUUUCACAGUAUUGAUAUAGUAAAAAAGACACGCGUCUUGAUUUAACUCGUUAAGUUCGAUUAUUAGCAAGC